UACGGAGGGUGCAAGCGUUAAUCGGAUUUACUGGGCGUAAAGGGCGCGUAGGCGGGUAGAAAAGUCAGGUGUGAAAUUUCAUGGCUCAACCAUGAAGCUGCACUUGAAACUUUCAGCCUAGAGGAUAGAGCGGGGAAAGCGGAAUUCCACAUGUAGCGGUGAAAUGCGUAGAUAUGUGGAGGAACACCGGUGGCGAAGGCGGCUUUCUAGCCUAUGCCUGACGCUGAGGCGCGAAAGCGUGGGGAUCAAACAGG
This 254-nucleotide unclassified non-coding RNA is filed under the name uncultured Chlamydiales bacterium. RNAcentral describes it as "contains 16S-23S intergenic spacer region". It matches the Rfam family "Bacterial small subunit ribosomal RNA", at positions 524 to 776 of the family's 1533-position model. Lineage: Bacteria; Pseudomonadati; Chlamydiota; Chlamydiia; Chlamydiales. The record is from RNAcentral.